AUGGCGGAAUCCAACUCGUACGAGGAGCAGCGCCGGAGGCAGAUUGAGGAGAACCGCCGGAAGCUGGAGGAGCUCCGCCUGCACCAUCUUUCCGCCGCCGUCCGUGAGGCCGCCGCCAGGCCCAAGCCCAACCCCAAGCCCAGGCCAAAGCGCAAGGCCCCGGGGCCCGGCGAGCUCCGGCGGUCCGGCCGCGUGGCCGGCCUCCCGGAGCAGCCCAACUACCUCAAGGGCGCACAGCAGCGCGACUACCAGGGAAUGUACGACGAUGUUAUUCGGAAAGGACCGACCGACGCUGACGAACAGAUGGCCGCCGCCGCCGCCGCCAAACAAAAGGCGGAGGAGCUCAAGCAACGGAUUCACGGCAUCCGCUGGCCCGCCUUCGUCAAGCCCGUGACCCACGACUGCGCCAGCAGGGCAGCCGUAAUGACAAUCCCGAAGCACUUCAUCGAGCAUCUCCCGGCGCAUGAUGAGGCGGUCGUCUUGGUGGACGAGGCGGAUGACGAGUUCCACAUGAUGUACAAUGCCAGGCACCACUUCCUCGGGAAGGGGUGGAGAGGGUUCGCCGCCCACCAUGACCUCGUCGACGGCGAUUGCUUGGUUUUCCAACUGACAGAGAGGACAAAGUUCAAGGUGAGAUUUAGCAUCUUCACCAUUCCACGUUCAGUCAAGUUGGCCAGGUUGAGGGAGAUCCGUUCUUGGUUUGACAACACAAGACAGAUGAGCUGGACGGCAAUGGCCACUCUCAAGAAUUUGGCGAAGAAGGAGAGGGCAAAGCUUUUCCCCCAGCCCGCGCAACCGAUUCAGAAGAUCGAGAUCCUCCUCUGGGCGAUGGAGCAGGCCAAUUCGUCCAGCGAGUGGACCAGGCGGAGGUGGUGGGCGUUCAGAUCCAGGGUAGAGCAUCCACUGGAUCAGGAACCCAUCGUGCACGAGGUGCCGUUGCAGAUUGUGCAGCCUCCAACCGAGUCACCGGAGACUUCGAAGCGCAAGAUGAGGAGGACAAUGGUCGCGACCUCGCUUCCCCGCCGUUCUCCACGCUUCCCUCGCCGCUCUCCUCGUCUGAACGGCGGCGGUAGCUAUGUUUAG
This 1083-nucleotide ribosomal RNA is filed under the name Triticum aestivum (bread wheat). Its description in RNAcentral is "partial small subunit ribosomal RNA". Lineage: Eukaryota; Viridiplantae; Streptophyta; Magnoliopsida; Poales; Poaceae. The record is from RNAcentral.